AGUUCUAUUUUGUUCAAUUAUAUAACCUAUAUUAUUGCUGCUUGAUUUGUUAUUUUUAAUUUAAAUCUAAUUGAAAUAUAAGAUCAAUUUUGUGCAUAAGCUGUUAGUUUUGAUACUUGUAGGUUACCACCAACUUUUGUUAUUUUUAUUGAAAUGAUUUAGACGAGGCUGGGCGAUAGUGCUACCCAUUCAGAAGCUGUUAGUUUUUGCUGCUUUGCUCAAUCUUCCUUUUCAUCUUCUCCAUGUAUGGCUGCUCUUCCUUUUGUCACUCCCACUUAUCCGCUUGCUUCUCUCUACAGUACCAGAAAACUCCAGAACUCGCCCACCCACGCUGCGAAGUUGAAUGAGAGUGCUAGGAACUUUCAAAUCUCGUAUAAAUCUUACCUCACCCGGAUAUCUUCUCUAUGCAAAGAAGGCGACCUUCGAGCAGCUGUGGACCUAGUUUCUAAUUUGGAAUUGCAGGGUAUCACAAUUGGACCUGACGUAUAUGGAGAACUUCUUCAGGGCUGCGUUUACGAGAGAGCUCUUUCGUUGGGUCAGCAAAUCCACGGUCGAAUUCUCAAGAAUGGUGAGUUCAUUGCAAAGAAUGAGUACAUCGAAACCAAAUUGGUGAUUUUCUAUUCAAAAUGCGACGAGUCAGAGAUCGCCAACCGUUUGUUUCGCAAGCUGCGGGUACAGAACGAGUUUUCUUGGGCUGCUAUUAUGGGAUUAAAAUGUAGAAUCGGCUUUAACGAAGAAGCUUUAUUGUGUUUUUGUGAGAUGCACGAAAAUGGGCUAUUCCUGGACAAUUUUGUUAUUCCAAUUGCUUUGAAGGCUUCUGGCUCUCUGCAGUGGAUUGGGUUUGGCAAAGCAAUCCAUGGCUACGCAGUCAAGAUGGGUCUAGGUGGGUGUAUCUUUGUUGCUAGUAGUCUUCUGGAUAUGUACGGUAAAUGUGGGGUAUGUGGAGAUGCAAAGAAGGUGUUUGAUAAAAUUCCUGAGAAGAAUAUAGUAGCUUGGAAUUCGAUGAUUGUUGAUUUUACCCAUAAUGGACUGUAUGAGGAAGCAAUUGAAACGUUUUAUGACAUGAGGGUGGAAGGUGUUGAACCUACUCAAGUGACUCUAUCAAGUUUUCUUUCAGCUUCAGCUAAUUUAAGUCUGAUCAAUGAGGGUAAACAAGGUCACGCCCUAGCAGUGUUAUCUGGACUGGAACUAACCAACAUAUUGGGUAGUUCGCUUAUAAAUUUUUAUUCCAAGAUUGGUUUGGUUGAGGACGCUGAACUGGUUUUCGGUGAAAUGUUGGAGAAAGAUGUAGUGACAUGGAAUUUGCUGGUCUCUGGUUAUGUACAUAAUGGGCUGGUUGAUCGGGCACUUGGUUUAUGUCGCGUAAUGCAAUCGGAAAAUUUGAGGUUUGAUUCUGUGACCCUUGCUUCAAUAAUGGCUGCUGCUGCUGACUCGAGAAAUUUGAAACUAGGGAAGGAAGGACAUUCUUUUUGUGUUAGAAACAACCUUGAAUCUGAUGUUGCUGUUGCAAGUAGCAUAGUAGAUACGUAUGCCAAAUGUGGGAAAUUGGAAUGUGCAAGACGUGUUUUUCACUUAACUAUAAAGAGAGAUCUUAUAAUGUGGAAUACUCUGUUGGCUGCCUAUGCAGAGCAGGGUUGGAGUGGUGAGACAUUAAAAUUGUUUUAUCAGAUGCAGUUAGAAGGUCUGCCACCAAAUUUGAUAUCCUGGAACUCUGUGAUUUUGGGUCUCUUGAAUAAAGGUGAAGUUAGUAAGGCUAAAGACAUAUUCUUGGAGAUGCAGUCUCUUGGUGUCUGUCCUAAUUUAGUUACUUGGACCACUCUCAUAUCUGGACUCGCACAGAAUGGUCUUGGUGAUGAAGCAUUCCUUACAUUCCAAUCAAUGCAAGAAGCUGGCAUUAAACCCAACAGUUUGAGUAUUAACUCGCUACUUUCAGCUUGCACAACUAUGGCGUCUCUGCGACAUGGAAGAGCAAUUCAUGGUUACAUCACAAGACGUGAACUUUCACUAUCAACACCGGUCUUAUGCUCCUUGGUGAACAUGUAUGCCAAAUGUGGUAGCAUAAAUCAAGCGAAGAGGAUUUUUGAUAUGAUAUUGAAAAAGGAGUUGCCCAUCUAUAAUGCAAUGAUCUCUGGCUAUGCACUACAUGGUCAAGCAGUGGAAGCUCUUUCACUCUUUAGACGUCUAAAAGAGGAAUGUAUAAAACCUGAUGAAAUAACCUUUACUUGUAUUCUUUCUGCAUGCAGUCAUGCUGGACUUGUGACAGAAGGUUUAGAGCUUUUCAUUGAUAUGGUUUCUAAUCACAAAAUAGUAGCACAAGCAGAGCAUUAUGGGUGUCUUGUUAGUAUUCUGUCUAGGUGUCAUAACUUGGACGAAGCUUUAAGACUUAUUCUAGCGAUGCCUUUUGAGCCUGAUGCAUUUAUAUUUGGAUCUUUACUUGCUGCAUGCAGAGAGCAUCCAGACGUUGAACUCAAAGAACGCUUGUUCGAACGCUUGUUGAAAUUGGAGCCAGAUAAUUCAGGAAAUUAUGUGGCACUGUCAAAUGCAUAUUCUGCUGCUGGAAUGUGGGACGAGGCAUCAAAGGUGAGAGAUCUGAUGAAAGAAAGGGGUCUAAAGAAGACUCCUGGGCAUAGCUUGAUUCAAAUUGGAAAUGAAACACAUGUAUUUUUUGCUGGAGAUAAGUCACACUCCAAGACAAAGGGAAUUUACAAGAUGUUGGCCCUCCUUAGAAUAGAAAUGCAAGUCACUAGAUGUAUACCUGUGAUUAGUUAAGCUGCUAUCUUACAUUUCCAUUCUUGAGGAUGAGGAUGUCAUAUCUGUACAGGUUGAUGCAUGUGCUUUUUAAUUAGCACAGAGGAAAUAGUGAUUGUUCAAAUGAUUAGUGGCCUUCUCUGACUAUGUUGAGGCCACAGGGACUUGAAGACAGUUACAAAACAUCGUUUACCCUGGCUUAAAGAAGAGUACUCUGGGUUUGGAAUGUUAUUCCUUUUGGACGGCUCGAAAUGCUACCUAGUUGAGGAAUCUACUAAUUCGAUAAGAGUAUUGCACUGCACAAGCGCCUGUUAUGUGAGAGAUUUGAGUCCUUCGGGUUUGUUUUUAGCUAUGACAAGAAUCUAGGAACAAGUAGAUUAACCAAUUGCACAUCUGAGUUCAUCUUGGACUAAAUUUGAGCUGAUUAGCAACUAUGGAAUUCAUAAACAUCAUGAUGCAGUGCUCGAGAAAUCCAUUUAUCAUUUUCUAUAUUGAAUUGCAUUGCUGAGAACCAGUGGUGCCAAGUUGUGCAGGCUUGUGUACGCAAGCUGUACGAGUUGCUUUCACGUCAAACUCAGGUUUUUGGUCUUUUGUAAAGCCCGUGAAUGAUUUGAUUCUCUUACUGUAUAUCGUUCAGUUACCAUUAGCAAUUGGCCUGUCUACUAGAAUCACACCAACUUUGCUUGCUCUCUACUGUGAAUAUACCCAACCAUAUGAGUUGGAAUGUUCUUAACUUAUUUUCUGCGCAACUUCUAUAUGGUGUGGGAAUAUUCUCGUCAAGAUUUGCACAUCAAAUUCUUCAAAUACAACACCAAGAUAUUACACCCUACCGGACUUGGUUGUAUGGUUUUUGAGAAUUGGAGACAUGCAACCAAAUUUCAGUUCCCGAAUUGUCAUCACACCGGCAGAUUACAGGAACUGGCACUAUGAAAAGAUCUCAGCACAAAACAUCAGUGUUGUUGCUGUUGUCAGGUUAGUACCUGUGAACAUCUGUUUUCUGGUUCUCAUUUUCAUGUUCCUUGUUCAACUAUUCCAGGUCGGGCUAAUACACUCAGGUUUUAAGAACAGCCAAGUUUUGAUAUCAGUAAUCUAAUCUUUAGUGCCGGACCACCUAUACAAUAUUCCCAAAUGGAUUUUUCUUUAUCCCUCUCUCUCCCUCCUCCUUUUCUGUACACAGAGAUUUACAAAUCUUUAUCAUCAACAUAAACACACAAAUGCUCCUUAGCUUUGUUGUAGUAUUUAUAGUUUUAGUUGAAUUUCUAACUUCCAAUUGAAGGCAUGCACUCAUCCUCAUCCGCAUCCGGAAGAAAUGGAAGAAUUUUGAAGCAUCCUAUGCUGUAACGAGUAACAACCAAAUAAAAUCUUACCCUUUUGUUUUGGUGAUUCGUGCUAUCCAAGGAAAGUGAAAUGAUGAAGAACAACGCCUUUUCACAUAUUGUUCAGUGGGCAUCAACGAGCUAUUAUUAUCCACCUUAUUUUGUUCGACAGCAGAGACUGGGAGACCGUGCUACUUUAGAGAAAGACAUUCCUUACUCUCGUCGGUAUGUCUCUCUCUCUCUCUCUCUCUCUUAUACAAUCUAAUUCACAUUGCUUUCAUCGAAGUAGUAACUCUGUGGGAUUCUUUCAUCUUUGCUACAUGCACAUGGGCAUUGAUUUGAUUGCAUAAAGUUAAAGUGAGUGUCAUUAAUGUAUGCAUAACCUUUAUUUAAACACAAUUAAGAGUUAAAGAUAUGCUCUGAACUCUCUUACACCUGGUGGAAGUUGAAUAGCCUCUAUCUAUUUGCUGAUAAUUUUUAAUCAGUGUCAAUUCAAAUUGUUAGGAUCGGAAACCAUAUGGUGUAAAGUAUUAAAAAGGCUGUGACUGUUCAUUUAGAGGAGUGUAUCAAAUUCAGUCAAAUGAUUUGUUCAUGAAUUAAUUAGCUGAAAAGAGAACAGUCGAAGUCGAAUACCGAAAAAAAGGGUGUUUUAAGAAACAUCAUUAAGGCUUUGCAUGGAUUCCAUUAAAAAAAAAAAGGUGCAAUCAAAUCUUCACCAACUAGUUGUUGGUUGCUCUUCUUCCCCUUUAUUUCAUUAGCUUCUAAUAUUAUCGCCUUUUUAUAAUUCUUAGGUCUUCCCUUUUUCCUCUAUCUUUGGUGGCUCUACUCAUUGAAAUUAUUGCUAAUGGUAUGGCGCAUGGCCCAAAUCUUUAUACUGUUUGGGAAUAAUUAAAUGAACCCUAAAAGGUUAAAGUAUCAUUUGGGGGUAUGUAUUUUCUUUUUUU
RNA transcript from Cucurbita maxima (winter squash), 5008 nucleotides. It is a transcript of the gene named pentatricopeptide repeat-containing protein At5g55740, chloroplastic, with no coding region annotated. The record is from RefSeq and is a predicted model, not a curated record. NCBI's taxonomy places the organism in Eukaryota, Viridiplantae, Streptophyta, Magnoliopsida, Cucurbitales, Cucurbitaceae. The transcript is spliced from 2 exons.